AUUGAACGCUGGCGGCAGGCCUAACACAUGCAAGUCGAGCGGAUGAAGGGAGCUUGCUCCUGGAUUCAGCGGCGGACGGGUGUGUAAUGCCUAGGAAUCUGCCUGGUAGUGGGGGAUAACGUCCGGAAACGGGCGCUAAUACCGCAUACGUCCUGAGGGAGAAAGUGGGGGAUCUUCGGACCUCACGCUAUCAGAUGAGCCUAGGUCGGAUUAGCUAGUUGGUGGGGUAAAGGCCUACCAAGGAGACGAUCCGUAACUGGUCUGAGAGGAUGAUCAGUCAAACUGGAACUGAGACACGGUCCAGACUCCUACGGGAGAGAGCGGUGGGGAAUAUUGGACGAUGGGCGAAAGCCUGAUCCAGCCAUGACGCGUGUGUGAAGAAGGUCUUCGGAUUGUAAAGCACUCUAAGUUGGGAGGAAGGGCAGUAAGUUAAUACCUUGCUGUUUUGACGUUACCAACAGAAUAAGCACCGGCUAACUUCGUG
RNAcentral lists this ribosomal RNA (484 nucleotides) under uncultured bacterium. RNAcentral describes it as "partial 16S ribosomal RNA". It matches the Rfam family "Bacterial small subunit ribosomal RNA", at positions 30 to 507 of the family's 1533-position model. The record is from RNAcentral.